This 253-nucleotide ribosomal RNA is filed under the name uncultured bacterium. RNAcentral's name for it is "partial 16S ribosomal RNA". It matches the Rfam family "Bacterial small subunit ribosomal RNA", at positions 524 to 776 of the family's 1533-position model. The record is from RNAcentral.
GACGAACCGUGCGAACGUUGUUCGGAAUCACUGGGCUUAAAGGGCGCGUAGGCGGGCGGUCAAGUCAGGGGUGAAAUCUUUCAGCUCAACUGGAAAAUGGCCUCUGAUACUGGCCGCCUGGAGGGGGGUAGGGGCAUGUGGAACUUCCGGUGGAGCGGUGAAAUGCGUAGAUAUCGGAAGGAACGCCGGUGGCGAAAGCGACGUGCUGGACCCUUUCUGACGCUGAGGCGCGAAAGCCAGGGGAGCAAACGGG